This 254-nucleotide ribosomal RNA is filed under the name uncultured bacterium. RNAcentral's name for it is "partial 16S ribosomal RNA". It matches the Rfam family "Bacterial small subunit ribosomal RNA", at positions 524 to 776 of the family's 1533-position model. The record is from RNAcentral.
UAUGGGGGGAGCAAGCGUUGUUCGGAUUUACUGGGCGUAAAGGGCGCGUAGGCGGCCACCGCAAGUCGAUUGUGAAAUCUCCGGGCUUAACCCGGAAAGGUCAACCGAUACUGCGGGGCUAGAGUGCAGAAGGGGCAACUGGAAUUCUCGGUGUAGCGGUGAAAUGCGUAGAUAUCGAGAGGAACACCUGCGGCGAAGGCGGGUUGCUGGGCUGACACUGACGCUGAUGCGCGAAAGCUAGGGGAGCGAACGGG